AUUGAACGCUGGCGGCAUGCCUUACACAUGCAAGUCGAACGGUAACAGGUUAAGCUGACGAGUGGCGAACGGGUGAGUAAUAUAUCGGAACGUGCCCAGUCGUGGGGGAUAACUGCUCGAAAGAGCAGCUAAUACCGCAUACGACCUGAGGGUGAAAGCGGGGGAUCGCAAGACCUCGCGCGAUUGGAGCGGCCGAUGUCAGAUUAGGUAGUUGGUGGGGUAAAGGCCCACCAAGCCAACGAUCUGUAGCUGGUCUGAGAGGACGACCAGCCACACUGGGACUGAGACACGGCCCAGACUCCUACGGGAGGCAGCAGUGGGGAAUUUUGGACAAUGGGCGCAAGCCUGAUCCAGCCAUGCCGCGUGCGGGAAGAAGGCCUUCGGGUUGUAAACCGCUUUUGUCAGGGAAGAAAAGGUUCUGGUUAAUACCUGGGACUCAUGACGGUACCUGAAGAAUAAGCACCGGCUAACUACGUGCCAGCAGCCGCCGUAA
RNAcentral lists this ribosomal RNA (493 nucleotides) under uncultured bacterium. Its description in RNAcentral is "partial 16S ribosomal RNA". It matches the Rfam family "Bacterial small subunit ribosomal RNA", at positions 30 to 523 of the family's 1533-position model. The record is from RNAcentral.